GUGCUAAUGUCAUCAAUAUUAAAAUUGAAAUAACACAGAGAAGAUUAGCAUGGCUCUUGUGCAAAAACGACUUGCAAAUUGGUGAAGCAUUUUGUAUUUUG
RNAcentral lists this small nuclear RNA (101 nucleotides) under Vombatus ursinus (common wombat). The record is from RNAcentral. Lineage: Eukaryota; Metazoa; Chordata; Mammalia; Diprotodontia; Vombatidae.